This 250-nucleotide ribosomal RNA is filed under the name uncultured bacterium. Its description in RNAcentral is "partial 16S ribosomal RNA". It matches the Rfam family "Bacterial small subunit ribosomal RNA", at positions 524 to 773 of the family's 1533-position model. The record is from RNAcentral.
UACGAAGGGAGCUAGCGUUGUUCGGAAUCACUGGGCGUAAAGCGCACGUAGGCGGAUUUGUAAGUCAGGGGUGAAAUCCCGGGGCUCAACCUCGGAACUGCCUUUGAUACUACAGAUCUCGAGUCCGAUAGAGGUGGGUGGAAUUCCUAGUGUAGAGGUGAAAUUCGUAGAUAUUAGGAAGAACACCGGUGGCGAAGGCGGCCCACUGGAUCGGUACUGACGCUGAGGUGCGAAAGCGUGGGGAGCAAAC